This 447-nucleotide ribosomal RNA is filed under the name uncultured bacterium. Its description in RNAcentral is "bacterial SSU rRNA". It matches the Rfam family "Bacterial small subunit ribosomal RNA", at positions 355 to 825 of the family's 1533-position model. The record is from RNAcentral.
UCGGGAAUUUUGGGCAAUGGGCGAAAGCCUGACCCAGCAACGCCGCGUGAAGGAUGAAGUAUUUCGGUAUGUAAACUUCGAAAGAAUAGGAAGAAUAAAUGACGGUACUAUUUAUAAGGUCCGGCUAACUACGUGCCAGCAGCCGCGGUAAUACGUAGGGACCAAGCGUUGUUCGGAUUUACUGGGCGUAAAGGGCGCGUAGGCGGCAAUUCAAGUCAUCUGUGAAAUCUCCGGGCUUAACUCGGAACGGUCAGAUGAUACUGCUUUGCUAGAGUGCAGAAGGGGCAAUCGGAGUUCUUGGUGUAGCGGUGAAAUGCGUAGAUAUCAAGAGGAACACCUGAGGUGAAGACGGGUUGCUGGGCUGACACUGACGCUGAGGCGCGAAAGCCAGGGGAGCAAACGGGAUUAGAUACCCCCGUAGUCCCUGAGCGGGCUGGCAAGGCGCAU